UACGGAAGGGGCAAGCGUUGUUCGGAAUCAUUGGGCGUAAAGGGCGCGUAGGUGGUUCUGUAUGUCUACCGUGAAAGCGUACGGCUCAACCGUAUUUUGUCGGUGGAAACUGCAGGACUUGAGGCUGGGAGGGGCUGGUGGAAUUCCCUGUGUAGCGGUGAAAUGCGUAGAGAUGGGGGAGAACACUCGUGGCGAAGGCGGUUCUCUGGGACGGUACUGACGCUGAGACGCGAAAGCGUGGGGAGCGAACAGG
Molecule: ribosomal RNA, 253 nt
Filed under: uncultured bacterium
Lineage: Bacteria
Description: partial 16S ribosomal RNA
Rfam family: Bacterial small subunit ribosomal RNA
Source: RNAcentral